UGGGGAAUUUUGCACAAUGAGCGAAAGCUUGAUGCAGCGACGCCGCGUGGAGGAUGACGGUCUUCGGAUUGUAAACUCCUGUUAAGUGGGAAGAAAUGUCGAUACCUAAUACGUAUCGAAGCUGAUUGUACCACUAGAGAAAGCACCGGCAAACUUCGUGCCAGCAGCCGCGGUAAUACGAAGGGUGCAAGCGUUAUUCGGAAUAACUGGGCGUAAAGAGCGUGAAGGCGGCUUUUUAAGUCAUCUGUUAAAUCACCCGGCUUAACCGGGUAUCUGCGGGUGAAACUGGAAAGCUAGAGUGUGGGAGAGAAAGGUAGAAUUCUCGGAGUAGCGGUGAAAUGCGUAGAUCUCGAGAGGAAUACCGGUUGCGAAGGCGGCCUUUUGGCCCACUACUGACGCUUAAGCGCGAAAGCGUGGGGAGCAAACAGG
Molecule: ribosomal RNA, 429 nt
Filed under: uncultured bacterium
Lineage: Bacteria
Description: bacterial SSU rRNA
Rfam family: Bacterial small subunit ribosomal RNA
Source: RNAcentral